GACGAACGCUGGCGGCGUGCCUAAUACAUGCAAGUCGAGCGAACAGUCCCGGCGCUUGCUUCUCUGACAUUAGGGACGGACGGGUGAGGAACACGUAGUUAACCUACCUAUAAGACUGGGAUAACUUCGGGAAACCGGAGCUAAUACCGGCUAAUACAUUGAAACACAUGGUUCAAUAGUGAAAGACGGUUUUGCUGUCACUUAUGGAUGGAUCCGCGCCGCAUUAGCUAGUUGGUAAGGUAACGGCUUACCAAGGCAACGAUGCGUAGCCGACCUGAGAGGGUGAUCGGCCACACUGGAACUGAGACACGGUCCAGACUCCUACGGGAGGCAGCAGUAGGGAAUCUUCCGCAAUGGGCGAAAGUCUGACGGAGCAACGCCGCGUGAGUGAUGAAGGUUUUCGGAUCGUAAAACUCUGUUAUUAGGGAAGAACAAAGGUGUAAGUAACUAAGCACGUCUUGACGGUACCUAAUCAGAAAGCCACGGCUAACUACGUG
Molecule: ribosomal RNA, 497 nt
Filed under: uncultured bacterium
Lineage: Bacteria
Description: partial 16S ribosomal RNA
Rfam family: Bacterial small subunit ribosomal RNA
Source: RNAcentral